CCUACGGGUGGCAGCAGUGAGGAAUAUUGGUCAAUGGUCGGGAGACUGAACCAGCCAAGCCGCGUGAGGGAGGAAGGUACAGAGUAUCGUAAACCUCUUUUGUCAGGGAACAAAGACUGGGACGCGUCCCCGGAUGAGUGUACCUGAAGAAAAAGCAUCGGCUAACUCCGUGCCAGCAGCCGCGGUAAUACGGAGGAUGCGAGCGUUAUCCGGAUUUAUUGGGUUUAAAGGGUGUGCAGGCGGUCUGUUAAGUCGGCGGUCAAAGCCCGGGGCUCAACCCGGGCCCGCAGCGGAAACGGGCAGGCUCGAGUGGGAGAGAGGUAUGCGGAAUGCGCGGUGUAGCGGUGAAAUGCAUAGAUAUCGCGAAGAACUCCGAUUGCGAAGGCAGCAUGCCGGCUCCACACUGACGCUGAGGCACGAAGGCGUGGGUAUCGAACAGGAGUAGAUACCCCGGUAGUC
RNAcentral lists this ribosomal RNA (459 nucleotides) under uncultured bacterium. Its description in RNAcentral is "partial 16S ribosomal RNA". It matches the Rfam family "Bacterial small subunit ribosomal RNA", at positions 338 to 795 of the family's 1533-position model. The record is from RNAcentral.